Molecule: ribosomal RNA, 577 nt
Filed under: uncultured bacterium
Lineage: Bacteria
Description: bacterial SSU rRNA
Rfam family: Bacterial small subunit ribosomal RNA
Source: RNAcentral
CGUCGGGGCAUCGUGCAGCUCUAUACGCGGGAGUAAGGGCACGCAGGCGGUUUCUUAGUCUGAUGUGAAGCCCCCGGCUCAACCGGGGAGGGUCAUUGGAAACUGGGGAACUUGAGUGCAGAAGAGGAAAGUGGAAUUCCACGUGUAGCGGUGAAAUGCGUAGAGAUGUGGAGGAACACCAGUGGCGAAGGCGACUCUCUGGUCUGUAACUGACGCUGAGGAGCGAAAGCGUGGGGAGCGAACAGGAUUAGAUACCCUGGUAGUCCACGCCGUAAACGAUGAGUGCUAAGUGUUAGGGGGUUUCCGCCCCUUAGUGCUGCAGCUAACGCAUUAAGCACUCCGCCUGGGGAGUACGGUCGCAAGACUGAAACUCAAAGGAAUUGACGGGGGCCCGCACAAGCGGUGGAGCAUGUGGUUUAAUUCCAAGCAACGCGAAAAACCUUACCAGGUCUUGACAUCCUCUGACAAUCCUAGAGAUAGGACGUCCCCUUCGGGGGGAAAAUGACAGGUGGUGCGUGGUUGUCCUCACCUCGUGUCGUGAGAUGUUGGGUUAUAUCCCCCAACGAGCGCACACCAA